UUCUCCCGAAGUGUGUACUCGUUCACUCACCCUCAUGGAUUUAAAUGGAAUUUAUUGGAAGUGGAUUAGGGUGGAAACUUCCUCCAGACAUUUUUGUACCAAUCCAAUGCACACAUCUGGGUGAAGCGUAGAAUCUGAAUCGCAAUAUUCAAUUCUACUCAUUCAAAUUCUAUAAUGUUCCCACUCUCUUGCUAGUUGCUACUCAUUGUAAAGGAAACAAUCAUGCCAUUAUUAUUUCUAAAUGUUAUUGUAAUCUUUCCUUGUAUGUGCAUGUCUUAGCGUCCACUUACCUGUAUAUUAUCUUCUAUUCACAUUGUUUAUAGAAGCCAUUUUCUUUAGAUAAAUAAUUUUGUUGUAUCAAAAGCUUAUUUUAAUUUUUUUUUUUUAAAGAAAGUGUCAAAUUUGAAUGUUACUUUUUGUAAAACCUUUUUUCAAAUGGAUCAUAAUUAAAGUCUGAAUCCUUCCAAUGACAGACUGUGCGUGCGUGCCUGUUUGUGUCAUACUAGUUAUUGUAUGAUAACAGCAAAGAUCUUUCCUCUCUGGUUACAGCAAUCUUUGGUUGCAGUACUUCUGAAAACAAUAGGUGGCAGCAAAGCCAUGUGUGGCAGGAUCACGUCAAUUGACAUCCACGAAGAAGAACGGUUUGUUUUUAACAAUGGUUUUAACGAAGAAGAAACUGCAGGACUUUGCUGGCCCAUUGGAAAACACCCGCUGAAGAACCAAAGCCUCCAAAAGGAAAGACAAUAAAGAAACUUGCUCAAACAUCCCCCAAAAUAACAAACAAUGAACCACCUCAGAAGCACAAAACACAACAGGCAAAGAAAUCACACUGUAGUUACAGCCCAAGAAGAGGAGGAUAAACAAAGCUGCCAAAAUACAGACACAAACAAAGAUUUUCCUCAAAUACCAGCCACAAACAAAGAAGUCUCUCAAAUGCUCCCAAUAAGGGAAGUGGACAUGGAGGUAACUGAAACAUGGGACGCAGCAGACAUUCUGACCUACCAGAUUCUAUGACAUCCUAUGGGUUCUCGCUCGCUUAUUUACACACACCAGUGCACAGUACACAAAUACUUUUCUUUUGUAAAGUUAUGUCGGUGAAGAAUGUUUCAUAAAACAAAGUUAGUUUUCAGAACCAAGAGUUGUACAUAGAUACUGUUUAAAUAGAAAACAAAUGUAGACAUACAGUAUCUCAAACAGAGGUUGUCCUCUACUGGUUAUGACCAUGGUCAGUUUCAGUACGUUGGUAUCAGUUUUAAAUGUAGUCAAAAGUUUUUUCUUAGUUUCACUCCCUGGUAAAUGCAACGACUUGGGACCGUUCAAAGUGCUUACACUAAAGCUGAACAUGCAGAAAACCUGAACAUUUUGAUUAUCAGGAGUGAACUUUACAUUAUUACAUCCUGAGCAUUGCCCCUGUCGUUUAAUGAAGGGUCAAUAAUGUUAAUCCAGCUGGAAAAACUAAAAUUUUGUAUAUAAACAUUGUAAAUAUUUUUGUUGUUGAAUUAUUUAUUUUGUAUAGUUUAUCUCUGGAUCAAUACGUUUAGUGCUAUCCUGGAUCCUUGGGACAUCCCUAAAGAUUAUGGAUAUAGGUCUCUCUACCCUAACAAUGUCGUUGUCCACAAAGAGGCACGGUGGGCUGUCUAGCUCCCGCCUUUCUUUGGAUUGGUGGAGACAUCUCAUUAUUGUAAUCUGUUUUUUAGUAUUUGAUGAGGGUUGUUGACGUCAAUCUCGAGUAUUCAAUGGCGGGAUACACUACUAGCCUUAUAACAUGAAUAUGCAUAGCCAUCUCCGAUAAAACGUGUUUUUUCUCAAAGUUGCUGGGCUGUCACGUGGCCUACUUAUAUCGGUACACUCGUAAGCAUUCCAAACGUCUAUUCGAUCAAAUAGACCUCAGGUAGCAAAUGAACCAUUCAUUGACCUCCAUACAAAAACUUGCAUAGUGGGCGAAACAACGAAAAAACCGCCACCUGUUGGAGGGGGACCGGUUUUCCGGCAAAUUAGGCUACUCUUCCUAUCUGGUUUCGACUUUCCUUUUUUUAAAUGUAUUUAUUUUUAUUUGCUCAUUAGGCUAUUCCUUUUAUUGACAUGUUCAAAGCAGAGCAAUGAAUACCAUUAAAGAUCCCACAUUAGAACUCCGUAACAUGAUGCACAGUAAAUAACCUGCAUCAUUACAGAUAACAUUUUUUAUCCAACAGCAACAUGUUUAUGUGCAAUGUGUUGACCUACGUGUUAAAAAUGUAUCUAUGUCCUCAUCUGUUUUUUGUUUUUUUACAUGUCUGAUGUAUUUAUGUUGUCUGUUUUCUGGUUUAGACGUUCUUUAAAAAAUAUAUUUUUUUAUUAUACAUUUAUUUUACUCAUAAUACAAAAAUCAACUUACAUUGCUACAUCAAACAUGUCUAGCAAACCAAACACAGGUAUUAACAAUGCUCAAACAUACAAAAAAGAAACAAUUUAAGUGCAAUUAUAUUCACUCUGAAAAUAUCUUAUUAUAAUGAUUCAUGAAGAUUAUUAUGAAGGUUAUUCUUGUUGUUAUUCACUAGGGUUAGUGUUUCAAUAAGAUAAUUCAAUUCAAUCAGAAAAAUUGGUCAUUUUGGUAUAGAAUUUUGGAAUUUUCGUUUGUGUAUAAAGUAUUUGGCUACAAGAAUAAAAAAUAAAAAAAGGUUUAGACUUUCCCGUCUACUCACUGUGGUUGUUCAAGCGUCACAUCCGCUUUUGACUUGCUCAUGCGUCAGUGAAUGCGGCGCUAAAGAAACGGAAGCGAGUAGCAGUGUUUCGCUUCACUUGAUAACAUUGUUAGUUAACUAUAAUAAACCAGUUAAAUAUAUAUCGUU
RNAcentral lists this long non-coding RNA (2828 nucleotides) under Oncorhynchus kisutch (coho salmon). RNAcentral describes it as "lncRNA (ENSOKIG00005017444.1)". Lineage: Eukaryota; Metazoa; Chordata; Actinopteri; Salmoniformes; Salmonidae. The record is from RNAcentral.